This 251-nucleotide ribosomal RNA is filed under the name uncultured bacterium. Its description in RNAcentral is "partial 16S ribosomal RNA". It matches the Rfam family "Bacterial small subunit ribosomal RNA", at positions 524 to 776 of the family's 1533-position model. The record is from RNAcentral.
GACGGGGGGGGCAAGUGUUCUUCGGAAUGACUGGGCGUAAAGGGCACGUAGGCGGUGAAUCGGGUUGAAAGUUAAAGUCGCCAAAAACUGGCGGAAUGCUCUCGAAACCAAUUCACUUGAGUGAGACAGAGGAGAGUGGGAUUUCGUGUGUAGGGGUGAAAUCCGCAGAUCUACGAAGGAACGCCAAAAGCGAAGGCAGCUCUCUGGGUCCCUACCGACGCUGGAGUGCGAAAGCAUGGGGAGCGAACGGG